Molecule: ribosomal RNA, 2857 nt
Filed under: microbial mat metagenome
Description: bacterial LSU rRNA
Rfam family: Bacterial large subunit ribosomal RNA
Source: RNAcentral
UAAAACGAAAUAAAGCAUAAAGUGGAUGCCUUGACUUGAAUAUCCGAAGAAGGACGUACUAAUCUGCGAAAAGUCUAGAGAAGUUGAUAAGAAACGAUAUUACUCUAGAAUAUCCGAAUGGGGGAACCUAAUACAGGUAAUCUGUAUUGCUGUAGAUUUACAGCGGGCACAAUGUGAAUUGAAAUAUCUUAGUAGCAUUGGACAAGAAAUCAAAAGAGAUUCCCUUAGUAGUGACGAGCGAAGAGGGAACAGCCUAAACCGUAAGCUAUGUACAGUUAGCUUUUGUACUUACGGUGUUGUAGGUUUCACAUACAGGGAGGCUAAUAACCUGGGUAUGUUUAUAUAAUAUUAAUCAAAUAAGCUGGGAAGCUUAGCCAUAGAGAGUUAAAGCCUCGUAGAAUAAAAUAUUAUGUUACGUACUUGUGAAUACCUGAGUAGGAUCAGACACGUGGAAUCUGGUUUGAAUCUGGGAGGACCAUCUUCCAAGGCUAAAUAGUAUUCAAGAUCGAUAGCGAACAAGUACCAUGAGGGAAAGGUGAAAAGAACCCCGGGAGGGGAGUGAAAUAGACCUGAAACUUUAUGCUGUUAACGAGUAGGAGCUCUUCGGAGUGACUGCGUACUUUUUGUAGAACGGACCAACGAGUUAAUGUGUGUGGCAAGGUUAAGGGAGUGAAAUCCGGAGCCGAAGUGAAAGCGAGCCUGAAUAGGGCGAGAGUCAUACAUAUUAGACCCGAAACUGGGAGAGCUUCCCAUGAGCAGGCUGAAGUCUGGGUAAAACUAGAUGGAGGGCCGAACCAUUUGGAGCUGCAAGUCCAUUGGAUGACUUGUGGGAAGGAGUGAAAAGCUAAUCGAUCUCAGAGAUAGCUGGUUCUCCGCGAAAUAGCUUUAGGGCUAGCCUGGAUUAACAUAUUUUAUUGGGGUAGGGCUCUGAUAGGACUAGCGGGACGUAAGUCUUAGUAAAUCCUGAUAAACUUCGAAUACAGUAAAAUUUAAAUCUGGAGUCAGACGGUGACAGAUAAGUGCCAUCGUCAAAAGGGAAACAGCCCAGACUACUAUCUAAGGUCCCAAAUUAAUAACUAAGUGGAAAAGGAUGUCGAAUUGCUGAGACAACCAGGAUGUUGGCUCAGAAGCAGCCAUUCAUUCAAAGAGUGCGUAAUAGCUCACUGGUCAAGCGAUUCUGCGCCGAAAAUACAACGGGGCUAAGUUAUUAACCGAAGAUGUAGAAUAGAAAUAUUGGUAGCGGAGCGUUCUGUAUGUCAAUGAAGGUGUUGUGUGAGCAAUGCUGGAGAUAUCAGAAGUGAAAAUGUUGGUAUGAGUAACGUAAUGAAGAUGAAAACUCUUCACACCGAAUAUCCAAGGUUUCCUGUUCAACGUCAGUCGAAGCAGGGUGAGUCGGUCCUAAGGUGUAGCUGAAAGGCAAAGCUGAUGGAUAUCAGGUUAAUAUUCCUGAACUAUGUUUAUUCGUUAUUACGAAGGGGGGACGUAUUGGGAUAUAGGAGAUGCUUAAUGAAUUGCAUUACGAAAACAAGGCUUAAUCUAUAGGAAAAUCCGUAGAUUUCUAUGUCGAGUCAAGUUAAGAUAGAACUAAGGUUUUAUCAGCUCCUAAUAUAUUCAGGUACCAAGAAAAGCCUCUAAGGAGAAUAAACGUAACCGUACCGAUAACGAACACUCGUGGAUUAGUGGAGAACACUAAGGUGGACGGGGUAACUAUGCUUAAGGAACUCGGCAAAACAGCGGUCGUAACUUCGGGAUAAGACCUGCCUAGUAUUUAAUUUAGAUACUAGGCCGCAGCUAAAGAGCUCAGGCGACUGUUUACCAAAAACACAGCUCUCUGCAAAAUCGCAAGAUGAUGUAUAGGGGGUGAUGCCUGCCCAGUGCCAGAAGGUCACGGGGAUGUGUGAGAGCACUGAACCUAAGCCCUGGUGAACGGCGGCCGUAACUAUAACGGUCCUAAGGUAGCGAAAUUCCUUGUCGGGUAAGUUCCGACCCGCACGAACGGCAUAACGGUCUGAGCACUGUCUCAAGCAUAGUCCCGGUGAAAUUGCAAUAUCGGUAAAAAUGCCGAUUACCUGCAGCAAGACGGAAAGACCCUAUGGAGCUUUACUACAGUUUGGUAUUGAUUUAUGUUUUAAGAUGUGCAGUAUAGGUGGGAAACUGUGAAGUGUAGACGCUAGUCUAUAUGGAGUUGUCGUUGAGAUACCACCCUUCUUAAAAUGUAAAUCUAACCUCAAAAGAGGGACAGUGCUUGAUGGGUAGUUUAACUGGGGCGGUUGCCUCCUAAAAAGUAACGGAGGCGCACAAAGGUUAACUAUUACCGGAUGGAAAUCGGUAAGAUAGUGUAUUCGCAUAAGUUAGCUUGACUGAGAGACCUACAAGUCGAUCAGAGACGAAAGUCGGUGAAAAUGAUCCGGCACCACAAGUGUGGAAUUGGUGUCGCUCAACGGAUAAAAGUUACCCUAGGGAUAACAGGCUGAUUUUGCCCAAGAGUUCAAAUCGACGGCAAAGUUUGGCACCUCGAUGUCGGCUCGUCGCAUCCUGGGGGUGGAGAAGCUCCCAAGGGUAUGGCUGUUCGCCAUUUAAAGCGGUACGCGAGCUGAGAAGAUCUGUUUCUAGUACGAGAGGACCGAAAUGGACGAACCUCUGGUGUAUCGGUUGUAUGGUCAUCAUGCACUGCCGAGUAGCUAAGUUCGGAAAGGAUAACCACUGAAAGCAUCUAAGUGGGAAGCCAACUUCAAGAUAAGAAUCCUCUGCCUCGAGCAAUAAGUUCCCUUCGAGACUAGGAGGUUGAUAGGUUGCAGGUGUAAGUCCAGUGAUGGAUUGAGCCAAGCAAUACUAAUAGAACGAAUGGUUUUAAUAA